UACAGAGGUCUCAAGCGUUGUUCGGAUUCAUUGGGCGUAAAGGGUGCGUAGGUGGUGAUGCAAGUCUGGUGUGAAAUCUCGGAGCUUAACUCCGAAAUUGCACCGGAUACUGCGUUGCUCGAGGACUGUAGAGGAGAUCGGAAUUCACGGUGUAGCAGUGAAAUGCGUAGAUAUCGUGAGGAAGACCAGUGGCGAAGGCGGGUCUCUGGACAGUUCCUGACGCUGAGGCACGAAGGCCAGGGGAGCAAACGGG
This 253-nucleotide ribosomal RNA is filed under the name uncultured bacterium. RNAcentral describes it as "partial 16S ribosomal RNA". It matches the Rfam family "Bacterial small subunit ribosomal RNA", at positions 524 to 776 of the family's 1533-position model. The record is from RNAcentral.